CGGAGGAUUGGGGUUCGAUUCCGGAGAGGGUGCCUGAGAAACGGCAACCAUGACUACGGUCAGCAGCAGGUGCGCAAAUUGCCCAAUGCUAACACAUUAGCGAGGCAGCAACUAUCAAUAGCAUUCCUAAAGGCUUUGUUCUUUAGGGCUUGCAAUGGAUUGUAUCUAAUAGACACUGCUGAAAACCAUUGGAGGGCAAGUCUGGUGCCAGCAGCCGCGGUAAUUCCAGCUCCAAUAGCGUAUAUAAAUGUUGUUGCGGUUAAAAAGCCCGUAGUUGGAUUUGAGACGACUGUUUGGGCGCGUACGUAAGGGCCUUCGGCUUCGGCUGGAAGCUCGUGCUACUGCCCACAUAGGCAGUCAUCUGAGACAUGCGGGAUCGUCCACUGGUUGGGGCGUUCGUUCACUCGGACGGCCUAACACUUUCGGAGAUCUACACUCCAUAAGGUGCGCCCGCAGCUGUCACUGUGAGUAAACCAGAGUGCUCAAGGCAACCAACGUGUUUUGGUUAUGAAUGUUAAAGCAUGGAAUGACAAGGGGUCGACCUUCUUUGUGGCGUCUUUUUGUUGGUCUUAGAUGCUCGUUGUAAGGAGAAUUUCGUGGAGGCGCGCUGGUAACUUCGUAGUUUAAUACCUGCGUGGUUUUCUAGCCCCUUCACAACCCGGGAUAAAUAGGAUCACGGGGGGCCCUCGCUACUGGCGGGCUAGUGGUGAAAUACUGAGACCCCGCCAAGAGCGACAUCAGCGAAAGCAGUGGGCUAUCGUGCUUUCAUUAAUCAAGGACGAGAGACGGGGGAUCGAAGAGGAUUAGACACCCUCGUAGUCCCUUCUGUAAAUUCUGCAAGCUCGGGAUUGGUCACGGUUCUAAUUCUAUUGGCCUGAUCAGCACCUUCUACCUCUAUCGGGAAACCAAAGCUUUUGUGUUCCGGGGGGAGUACAUUCGCAAGGCUGAAACUUAAAGGAAUUGACGGAGAACCACCACCAGUUGUGGAGUGUGUGGCUUAAUUCGACCCAACACGCGAAAUCUUACCAGGCCAGGACGUGGUGAUGAUUGCCGGAUUGAUAGCUCUUGCAUGAUUCCGCGAAGGGUAGUGCAUGGCCGCUUCUGGUUGGUGAAGUGAUUUGUCUGCUUAAUUGCGUUAACGAACGAGAUCUCUGCCAAUUAUUAGAUGGUCCCUUCGUAUUUGUAGGCGUCAGGACGGGAGCGAGGGGUCACCCUUGCCUCCGGUGGUCACUCUUUGCCUACGCUGAGAAGGGGCAGAAAAUACCAAGUUACUUAUUGGGUUUACGCAACCUGC
This 1294-nucleotide ribosomal RNA is filed under the name metagenome. Its description in RNAcentral is "SSU rRNA". It matches the Rfam family "Eukaryotic small subunit ribosomal RNA", at positions 363 to 1432 of the family's 1831-position model. The record is from RNAcentral.